RNAcentral lists this ribosomal RNA (270 nucleotides) under uncultured bacterium. RNAcentral's name for it is "partial 16S ribosomal RNA". It matches the Rfam family "Bacterial small subunit ribosomal RNA", at positions 524 to 787 of the family's 1533-position model. The record is from RNAcentral.
UACGUAGGGUGCAAGCGUUAAUCGGAAUUACUGGGCGUAAAGCGUGCGCAGGCGGUUAUGCAAGACAGAGGUGAAAAUCCCCGGGCGUCAACCUGGGAACGUAGCCUUUCGUUGACUGCAUAGCUAGAGUACGGUAGAGGGGGAGUGAAUUCCGCGUGUAGCAGUGAAAUGCGUAGAUAUGCGGAGGAACACCGAUGGCGAAGGCAAUCCCCUCGGACUGUACUGACGCUCAUGCACGAAAGCGUGGGGAGCAAACAGGAUUAGAAACCC